Molecule: unclassified non-coding RNA, 661 nt
Filed under: Hevea brasiliensis (rubber tree)
Lineage: Eukaryota; Viridiplantae; Streptophyta; Magnoliopsida; Malpighiales; Euphorbiaceae
Source: RNAcentral
UUUAAAUGACCAAAUUAUUUCAAAAACCAUAAUACAAAGUAAUAUUUACAGACCCAUUUCUAGAAUCUCAAAGUUCUACUUACAAAUCAUGAUUUCAAGACAAACCCAAGUAUAGAGAUGAAGAAUAAUAAAAACCUAAACUAAGGGAAAGAAAAACCUAGUAAAAUGAUGAAUAAUCUGCUACUGGAGUGUUGCAGAAGGCAUCCUCUGCUGUUGCAAAACUUGAUCUCACAUGCUCCUCUUCCUUCCUCUCUCUCUUGCAAAAUCUAUCAUCUUUUCUCCUUUUUUAAAGAAAGAGAAAAAUGUGUUUAUAUAUGGUGCAGAGGUCUGCCCUAGAAUGAGUUAAAAGACAGAAGAUUCUGAAGAAAAUGAUAUAUUCAAUCAGAGGGACGAAAGUGCCACGUCAGUAAUUUUCAUUAAAACGUCACAAGCUGAGUCAGUUGUGUUGCGCCUUGUUUUGCAAGUUGUGUAACUUUCUGUCUAAGAAAAACUUCAUAUUUGACAAUGACACAACCUACGACAUAAGCUGUGUCAUAGGUUGUGUAACUUUCUGUAUCUUUAAAACUCAACUUUAAAUUUUCUUUUUGAAAUUUUACAAUUCAAUUCUAAUUUCCUCUAAAUAGUUAUUGUUAAUUUAAUUAUUUUCUUUUUGUUCUUAGUA